GAAUAUUGGACAAUGGGCGAAAGCCUGAUCCAGCAACGCCGCGAGCAGGAUGAAGGCCUUCGGGUUGUAAACUGCUUUUGUACGGAACGACAAGGUUCGGGUAAAAACCCGGGAGUCAUGACUGUACCGUAAGAAUAAGCACCGGAUAACUACGUGCCAGCCUCCGCGGUAAUACGUAGGGUGCAAGCGUUCAUCGGAAUUUCUGGGCGUAAAGCGUGCGAAGGCGGUUUUGUAAGACAGAGGGGAGAUCCCCGGGCUCAACCUGGGAACUGCCUUUGUGACUGCAAGGCUAGAGUACGGCAGAGGGGGGUGGAAGUCCGCGUGUAGCAGUGAAAUGCGUAGAUAUGCGGAGGAACACCGAUGGCGAAGGCAACCCCCUGGGCCUGUACUGACGCUCAUGCACGAAAGCGUGGGGAGCAAACA
RNAcentral lists this ribosomal RNA (423 nucleotides) under uncultured bacterium. RNAcentral's name for it is "partial 16S ribosomal RNA". It matches the Rfam family "Bacterial small subunit ribosomal RNA", at positions 359 to 774 of the family's 1533-position model. The record is from RNAcentral.